Molecule: ribosomal RNA, 484 nt
Filed under: uncultured bacterium
Lineage: Bacteria
Description: partial 16S ribosomal RNA
Rfam family: Bacterial small subunit ribosomal RNA
Source: RNAcentral
AGUGAACGCUGGCGGCAGGCCUAACACAUGCAAGUCGAGCGGCAGCGCGGGGGCAACCCUGGCGGCGAGCGGCGGACGGGUGAGGAAUUCGUCGGAAUCUGCCUUUUUGUGGGGGAUAACGUAGGGAAACUUACGCUAAUACCGCAUACGUCCUACGGGAGAAAGUGGGGGACCGCAAGGCCUCACGCAGAAAGAUGAGCCGACGACCGAUUAGCUAGUUGGUGGGGUAAAGGCCCACCAAGGCGACGAUCGGUAGCUGGUCUGAGAGGAUGAUCAGCCACACUGGGACUGAGACACGGCCCAGACUCCUGCGGGAGGCAGCAGUGGGGAAUAUUGGACAAUGGGCGCAAGCCUGAUCCAGCCAGGCCGCGUGUGUGAAGAAGGCCUUCGGGUUGUAAAGCACUUUUGUCCGGAAAGAAAUUCCUGGAGCUAAUACCUUCGGGGGAUGACGGUACCGGAAGAAUAAGCACCGGCUAACUUCGUG